Molecule: ribosomal RNA, 465 nt
Filed under: Vreelandella stevensii
Lineage: Bacteria; Pseudomonadati; Pseudomonadota; Gammaproteobacteria; Oceanospirillales; Halomonadaceae
Description: partial 16S ribosomal RNA
Rfam family: Bacterial small subunit ribosomal RNA
Source: RNAcentral
CCUACGGGCGGCAGCAGUGGGGAAUAUUGGACAAUGGGGGGAACCCUGAUGCAGCCAUGCCGCGUGUGUGAAGAAGGCCCUCGGGUUGUAAAGCACUUUCAGUGAGGAAGAACGCCUUGUGGUUAAUACCCAUCAGGAAAGACGUCACUCGCAGAAGAAGCACCGGCUAACUCCGUGCCAGCAGCCGCGGUAAUACGGAGGGUGCGAGCGUUAAUCGGAAUUACUGGGCGUAAAGCGCGCGCAGGUGGCUUGAUAAGCCGGUUGUGAAAUCCCCGGGCUCAACCUGGGAACUGCAUCCGGAACUGUCAAGCUAGAGUGCAGGAGAGGAAGGUAGAAUUCCAGGUGUAGCGGUGAAAUGCGUAGAGAUCGGGAGGAAUACCAGUGGCGAAGGCGGCCUCCUGGACUGACACUGACACUGAGGUGCGAAAGCGUGGGUAGCAAACAGGAUUAGAUACCCUUGUAGUC